CCCUAGUAACUGCGAGUGAAGCGGGAUGAGCUCAAAUUUAAAAUCUGGCGGUUCUGCCGUCCGAGUUGUAAUCUGGAGAAGCGUUUUCCGCGUCGGACCGUGUACAAGUCUCUUGGAAUAGAGCGUCAUAGAGGGUGAGAAUCCCGUCCAUGACACGGACUCCCGAUGCUAUGUGAUACGCUCUCAAAGAGUCGAGUUGUUUGGGAAUGCAGCUCAAAAUGGGUGGUAAAUUCCAUCUAAAGCUAAAUAUUGGCGAGAGACCGAUAGCGAACAAGUACCGUGAGGGAAAGAUGAAAAGCACUUUGGAAAGAGAGUUAAACAGUACGUGAAAUUGUUGAAAGGGAAACGCUUGAAGUCAGUCGCGUCGUACGGAGCUCAGCCUUGCUUCUGCUUGGUGUAUUCUCUGCUCGACGGGUCAACAUCGAUUUCGGCCGGUGGAAAAGGGCUCGAGGAAUGUAGCGUUGUUUCGGCGACGUGUUAUAGCCUCGGGUCGUAUGCAUCGGCUGGGAUUGAGGACCGCAGCACGCCUUUUUGGCCGGGGUUCGCCCACGUUCGUGCUUAGGAUGUUGGCAAAAUGGCUUUAAGCGACCCGUCUUGAAACACGGACCAAGGAGUCUAACAUGCCUGCGAGUGUUCGGGUGGAAAACCCUUGCGCGUAAUGAAAGUGAAAGUUGGGAUCCCUCGCAAGGGGGUGCACCGACGCCCGGCCCAGACGUUCUCUGACGGUGCCGCGGUAGAGCAUGUAUGUUGGGACCCGAAAGAUGGUGAACUAUGCCUGAAUAGGGUGAAGCCAGAGGAAACUCUGGUGGAGGCUCGUAGCGAUUCUGACGUGCAAAUCGAUCGUCAAAUUUGGGUAUAGGGGCGAAAGACUAAUCGAACCAUCUGGUAGCUGGUUCCUGCCGAU
This 904-nucleotide ribosomal RNA is filed under the name Hymenochaete sp. RNAcentral describes it as "eukaryotic LSU rRNA". It matches the Rfam family "Eukaryotic large subunit ribosomal RNA", at positions 78 to 965 of the family's 3401-position model. Lineage: Eukaryota; Fungi; Basidiomycota; Agaricomycetes; Hymenochaetales; Hymenochaetaceae. The record is from RNAcentral.